Molecule: long non-coding RNA, 3170 nt
Organism: Triticum aestivum (bread wheat)
Lineage: Eukaryota; Viridiplantae; Streptophyta; Magnoliopsida; Poales; Poaceae
Exons: 6
Source: RefSeq, a predicted model, not a curated record
CGUCCGUUCGACCUAGUGGAGGUGGGACGUGGAUCAGAAUCGCGCGUCCCCGUCUGAUCCGUGGCCCUGGAAGUUUGCUUUUCCGUCCGGUGGGAAUAGGCAGAAAAAUUAAAAUUGAAUGCAGGAUCCAGAGUGUUCUCUGCCUAGAGCGGUGCUCAUUUAGAAACAGGGGUCUCCGACGGAGAGAGAAGGAGCGGCGGCGGUGAUCCGGCAUGGAGUUUCCGAUGCUGCCAAUGGGCAGAUCCAGUGUCCUUGAGGAAGUAGGAGAGAGCUUGGUGCCGGCCCCUGUGCCAAUGGCGCCGACGGGAGCUGGUAUGCUGACUCUCCUUCAGAUUCCCCUUGCUGGAGGUAGGAGAGAGUCAACGGAUCCGCCGCCGAAGGCCGCGACGAGCAAAGUCUUAGCAGCGGAGGAGGGACGGUCAAAUCCCAAUUGAUUUGUUAGCCUGCCAUGAGCACGGACGGUCAAAUAUGUGCAGAAGAUUUACGUCCUGAGCAGAGACGUGAGAGCCUGCCACAAGCAUCAAUGGUCAAAAAGGGUAAAGCUGGAGUGGAGAACACGAGAUCUUGAAGGUACAAGUGCCGUGCGCUUAUAAGACUUCUUAGCACAACCGGUGGUACAUUGCUGAGCAUAGAGAACAGAACAACGGCUCGCUGUCCCAUAAUUUUUGUGAGACAAUAAACUGGCCAUCACACAACUAUAUUGAUGUGCAUGGCCAAUACUUGAUAAAAUAGCCAAGGCAGAACAACAUGAACCUUGCAAUUAUGUACCAUAUUAUCGGGAGCUUUUUUGGAUUGGUGGAGAAUGUGCCAUUCACUAAGUGGUCGCUUAAGAGCCUAUGCGGAAAGAUAAUAAGCAAAGAACAAGCUGAUGACGAUGUACGGAAAACCAUGGAGGUGUUUGCACGAUUAUGAUCUAAGGAUCCACGUUCCAUGCAUCGUGUCCAAGUGGGUAGAAUAAAAAAACUUAAUGUGGGCAAACAGGAGCAGCAGGCAUCAGUAGUCAUUUUUUGGAGAUGUAGUGACUUUUGGCACCACCUAUCGUACUAAUCUGUAUUACAUGCCAUUUGCGCUUUCCGUAGGAGUGAACAAUCAUUUCCAGAGCAUGAUCUUUUCUGGUGUAUUGGUGCGUGAUUAGACACAGGCAAGCUUCAAGUGGGUAUUCGUAGAAUUUUUGCAGAUGAUGGGAGGCGUGGCAUCAAGGACUGUUUUGACAGAUCAUAAUCGGGCAAUGGAGCUUCCAUUAAGAGUAUCAUGCUAGACACAGCGUGUCAGUGGUGUUAGUGGCAAGUGGCAUGUCCUAAAUAAAGCUAAAGAAUAAUUGGGGCCACUGUACACUAAAAAGAGUGAAUUUAGAGCAGAAUUCCACAACGUUGUGAAUCAUGUGUUGACCAUGGAUGAAAUCGAGGAAGGGUGGCAUCUGGUGCUCGAGAAAUGCAGACUGUGGACACAUCCGUACAUCUCUUGGCUCUUUGAGAGUGGACACAAGUGAGCAAAGUCAUAUUUCAAAGGUGUGUUAUGUGCUAAGAUGGAAAGUACUCAGAGUAGCGAGAGCACAAAUCACAUGCUCAAGAAUUAUGUGCCUCCUGGUUGCUGGAUGCAUAUGUUUGUUAAGAAGUACAUGAGGCUGCAGUUUGAUCGUGUGUCCGAUGAAAACUAUGAAGUGAAGAGAACAAGAAUUGGGAGACCGCUGAUGAGGUAAUCUGGCUAUACAACGACAUGCAACCAAGAUAUACACAAGGGUCAUGUUGAAACAGUUUGGCCAUAUCUUGUAUGAGUGCGGGGUCGAGAAGUGGUAGAGAUCAGAGAGUCGCAUACAUUCGAAGGCCGGCCGAAGGGAGAAGUGGUGCAGAGAUGGAGGUAAAGAGUUUGACUGCGAGUGUUGACGGUUUGCUCACAUGGGACUCCUUUGUGGCCAUGUGUUGAAAAAAGGUGUAUGCCAUUGGAUGCGGGCUUUUGGCGGGCGACCUCCAUGUAGGUGGAUAUAUUGAAAUUUUUGAUAAAUUACAUUUUGGAAUUUCAAAAUUUUGUGAAAAAAAAUUCUACACAUUCAUAUGGAUGUAUUCUACAUGUGUAUAAAAUCUGACACUGAAAUACAUUAUGGCGAGAGCUACAUAAAAAAGAGAAAAUCCUGCAUUUCUAAUAGUAAACAGUGUUUGCACUGUUCAUCAGUUUGAAAAUUACGAUUUGUAUUUUUGUGUAGCUCUCACCGUAAUAUAUUUCAUCUUUAAAAUUUACACACAUGUAGAAUACAUCAAUGUAAACAUGUAUGAUUUUUUUCAGAUUUUUUUGAAACUUCAAAAUAUGUUUUCUGAUAUUAUUAUUUUUAACGACCUCCAAGGAGGUCGCCUGACAUUGGCAUUUUGUGGUAUGCCAUUAGACUUUUAUGUUGGGUCGAUGCUAUACUCACAGAAUGAGCAAUGCUGAACGGUGUAGGGAUUAAUUGAUUAGUUCGUACUCCUUGAUGCAUAUGAAUUUUCAUCUUCACCUGAACUCAUAGUAUUUGAUAAUAUGAAUUUUUGAUUAGCAGGUGCUGGGCUUUAUCCGUGUGAAACAGAUAACUUUUAGUCAAAUGGUGGACCAAAGAUGCCCUUGAUGCAUACGUGUUUUUUCAGGUGAGAGGGGACGGGAAUCUGCCGCAGUACUACCAGGACUAAAAGAUGGAGCUGAGCCGUGGCCUAUUCCGUUAGAUGCCGUCUGGGCGGGCAGGGCUCUAGCGGGGGGCCGUGACAUCCAUGAACCGACAAGAGUGGGCCAGUGCGCAGCGAAAAAGAGAAAUACGGGUCGCUAUACAGAGAACCAGACAGUUGUUGGCGCGAACUCUUUAUGGGAACCAGCGAUGUGGAUAAAGAGCUCAUCUGAGCUCGUGCUCAGAUAGGUACUUCCGUGGACACACAUUCAUCUCACGAGCGUUGUCCUGGCAAUGGCAGGCUUGUGAGGGUAUGGUCCCGUGGAUCUGGCCGGCCAGAUCUAUUGGCGUCGUGUUGGUGCCGACGGUGGUGGUCAGAAUAAUCAAGCACAAUAUUGAAUCAGAGCGAGCGUCAAGGUGGUACAGUACUGAGCAUAUAUUUUUAUAUCUUCCAGAAAAUCGUGGGCACGUACUCUGGAGCCUGGUAUGAAAAGAAUAAAAACAAUAAUAAGGGAUUUUAAAGUUUCCAAAUUUCCAAACAAAA